RNAcentral lists this small nuclear RNA (158 nucleotides) under Saimiri boliviensis boliviensis (Bolivian squirrel monkey). RNAcentral's name for it is "U2 spliceosomal RNA (ENSSBOG00000008598.1)". The stretch from base 21 to 158 matches the Rfam family "U2 spliceosomal RNA". From Rfam's summary of the family: U2 is a small nuclear RNA (snRNA) component of the spliceosome (involved in pre-mRNA splicing). Complementary binding between U2 snRNA (in an area lying towards the 5' end but 3' to hairpin I) and the branchpoint sequence (BPS) of the intron results the bulging out of an unpaired adenosine, on the BPS, which initiates a nucleophilic attack at the intronic 5' splice site, thus starting the first of two transesterification reactions that mediate splicing. The record is from RNAcentral. Lineage: Eukaryota; Metazoa; Chordata; Mammalia; Primates; Cebidae.
AUAUUGUCCUCGGAUAGAGGACAUAUCAGAUAUUAAACUGAUAGGUAGGACAAUAUGUUAAAUGGAUUUUUGUAGCAGGGAGAUGGAAUAGGAGCUUGCUCCGUCCACUCCUCGCAUCGACCUGGUAUUGCAGUACUGCCAGGAAUGGUGCACCCCCU